This 515-nucleotide ribosomal RNA is filed under the name uncultured bacterium. RNAcentral's name for it is "partial 16S ribosomal RNA". It matches the Rfam family "Bacterial small subunit ribosomal RNA", at positions 28 to 523 of the family's 1533-position model. The record is from RNAcentral.
GAUGAACGCUGGCGGCGUGCCUAAUACAUGCAAGUCGAGCGAAUGGAUUAAGAGCUUGCUCUUAUGAAGUUAGCGGCGGACGGGUGAGUAACACGUGGGUAACCUGCCCAUAAGACUGGGAUAACUCCGGGAAACCGGGGCUAAUACCGGAUAACAUUUUGAACCGCAUGGUUCGAAAUUGAAAGGCGGCUUCGGCUGUCACUUAUGGAUGGACCCGCGUCGCAUUAGCUAGUUGGUGAGGUAACGGCUCACCAAGGCAACGAUGCGUAGCCGAACUGAGGGGGUGAUCGGCCACACAGGGACUGAGACACGGCCCAGACUCCUACGGGAGGCAGCAGUAGGGAAUCUUCCGCAAUGGACGAAAGUCUGACGGGGCAACGCCGCGUGAGUGAUGAAGGCUUUCGGGUCGUAAAACUCUGUUGUUAGGGAAGAACAAGUGCUAGUUGAAUAAGCUGGCACCUUGACGGUACCUAACCAGAAAGCCACGGCUAACUACGUGCCAGCCGCCGCAGUAA